Molecule: long non-coding RNA, 1375 nt
Organism: Podarcis raffonei (Aeolian wall lizard)
Lineage: Eukaryota; Metazoa; Chordata; Lepidosauria; Squamata; Lacertidae
Exons: 2
Source: RefSeq, a predicted model, not a curated record
GGAACGAAUUAAGUACGUAACUUUAGUUACCACGGUAGAUGCCUUUGGGAAGCCCACAAGCAGGACAUAAGGCAGCAGUGCUCUCUAAACACAACCCAACUCGUUGCAACUGGUAUUCCGUAGCAUACUGCCUAUGAACAUAGAAGAGUGAUAUGUUGGGCAGUGUGUGAAACUUGUAGAAACUCAAAUUGGCCAAACAGUUGCAAUUUCUGUAAUGAAAUCUGUACACACAUGCUCAUAGUAGUAGUAAUUAGAAAACACUACAGAGCUUUCAUUUUAUGGCCCAAAGGGACCUGGCAAUAUUAUGCAAGCUGGUCUUCUGAAAGUUGGGUCUUUCAAUACCUGGUAUUUGCUGGUUUUCUUUUUCCCAUUCCAAAUAGCAUUUUGCAUCAGCUCUGUGCACAAGCCAUAGCACAAUAACUGCUGACCAUAACUAGCUUCAGUAGCAGGCUCCUGCUUAGCAUAUCUUUUAUUCGGAUGCUUGGUCCACAGAAAAGUUGAGGAUUUAAGCCUCCCUUUUCUCUGCCUGCUUGUCCAUCCCUUAUUAAUUAACUCUUCAGUCUACAGUCUUUUCCCAGCAUGCUUGCCUUGCCUCUCCUUUAAGUCAGAGAGACAAAACCAGCUGCAGCCCCAAGGUGGUCUCCGACUGUUACAAUCUGUGCUCCUUUCUGGCAGUUAUUUAGUGCCCCUUUUGGGUUGUUCCCCCUCCCUGCUUUGCCUUUUCCUUUGUCUCGUUUUCUAUAAGGUUCCAUCUAGGUUUUCCCUAGAGUUCUCUUACCCCAUGUCAUUACUUAGCCUGUAAGAUCUGCAAGGAUCUCUGCUUGCAAGCCUCAGGAUCUGUGAUUGGGGCGGGGGUUGCAAAAAGAGAGAGGAGCUAAUCAAUUCAGAAAAUCAUUUGGGUGGCAACCUCACUUGACAGCCUAUUUUCUUCCUUUCCACUUAGAUAUCAAGCUGGCUGAGAAGGGCUCUGGGGAACAAGGGAGGCAGCAAGAGCUGCUUCUCUGUAGAUAUUUGCAAGACACCUCAACAGAAGUACAACCACUAGACCUGCUACUGAAAUCCACUGCAUCCUGGUUUGGGGGAGCAGUUAAGGAGGCUGCCUUUACAAAGAUAUAUAUUACAAUUUUACAGUGCCAACAGGCCCCCCAGUGGUUAGCAGAAAAUGCAAACAGAUAUGGAUUAGGUAGAGUACAGAAAAUACAUUUCAUCAAAUCCAAAUUGUUACUCAUGGAGAUCCAGAAUUUGAAGCUUACAAAAUACCAGAGAUGACCAGAAAGUGCUUUACUAACCACUGAGUGAAUUAGAAGGCCUAAUAAUGAACGGUUGUAUCACAAACUAUGUAAUAGACAAUACAGCUCAAUUUAAGGCAGCUGAA